AUUGAACGCUGGCGGCAGGCCUAACACAUGCAAGUCGAGCGGAUGACGGGAGCUUGCUCCUUGAUUCAGCGGCGGACGGGUGAGUAAUGCCUAGGAAUCUGCCUGGUAGUGGGGGACAACGUUUCGAAAGGAACGCUAAUACCGCAUACGUCCUACGGGAGAAAACAGGGGACCUUCGGGCCUUGCGCUAUCAGAUGAGCCUAGGUCGGAUUAGCUAGUUGGUGGGGUAAUGGCUCACCGAGGCGACGAUCCGUAACUGGUCUGAGAGGAUGAUCAGUCACACUGGAACUGAGACACGGUCCAGACUCCUACGGGAGGCAGCAGUGGGGAAUAUUGGACAAUGGGCGAAAGCCUGAUCCAGCCAUGCCGCGUGUGUGAAGAAGGUCUUCGGAUUGUAAAGCACUUUAAGUUGGGAGGAAGGGCAGUAAGCUAAUAUCUUGCUGUUUUGACGUUACCGACAGAAUAAGCACCGGCUAACUCUGUGCCAGCCGCCGCGGUAA
Molecule: ribosomal RNA, 500 nt
Filed under: uncultured bacterium
Lineage: Bacteria
Description: partial 16S ribosomal RNA
Rfam family: Bacterial small subunit ribosomal RNA
Source: RNAcentral